CUGGGAUUACAGGCGUGAGCCACUGCGACCGGCCCAAAGUUAACCUUCUGUCGAACGGUUUAUAUCUGGAAAGGGUGUGGGCCGAAGAUAUGCUCAUGUGGUGUUGAGGAAAGCAGACAUUGACCUCACCAAGAGGGCGGGAGAACUCACUGAGGAUGAGGUGGAACGUGUGAUCACCAUUAUGCAGAAUCCACGCCAGUACAAGAUCCCAGACUGGUUCUUGAACAGACAGAAGGAUGUAAAGGAUGGGAAAUACAGCCAGGUCCUAGCCAAUGGUCUGGACAACAAGCUCCGUGAAGACCUGGAGCGACUGAAGAAGAUUCGGGCCCAUAGAGGGCUGCGUCACUUCUGGGGCCUUCGUGUCCGAGGCCAGCACACCAAGACCACUGGCCGCCGUGGCCGCACCGUGGGUGUGUCCAAGAAGAAAUAAGUCUGUAGGCCUUGUCUGUUAAUAAAUAGUUUAUAUACCUAUGG
This 474-nucleotide small RNA is filed under the name Pan troglodytes (chimpanzee). Its description in RNAcentral is "processed transcript". The record is from RNAcentral. Lineage: Eukaryota; Metazoa; Chordata; Mammalia; Primates; Hominidae.